AAUUGUGAGAAUUAAUUUUGUAAUUAAGAAUUACAAAAUAAACCAAGAACUUGCUUUUUUUUUUUCUCUCAACAAAGAUCUAAAAGUUAGGUUCCUCCUAAAAGUAUCAUCUCUCUCUUUCCUCCACCAUUUGAAUCUAAUUCCAAGUCAAGAGAAUAACGAGUCAACACUUGUGGUAGUCCUAACUUUGAGUUCGUGAGAAAAUUACAAGAAAAGAAAAGUAUCAAAGAUGAGUUUUUCUUUUAACCAUAUAUUUGUUUCAAUUAGGGUUGUAAUGCAUGUUAUUUACUAGUGUUUAGUUGCAAUUAGAGUAAAGUUUGAUUCUUAUUCUGCUGUGCAUGUAUACCGUUUUCAUCAUUCGAAAGUUAUGUUAAGCGGUUAAAGCUAUUCGUGGUAUGAAAUUAGGCAAGAAUAAAAAUUUGGCGAGAAAAUGUCAAAUUUGAUUUGACAGGGAUUAGCGUGUAAGAUUAAGAAUUGAAGCAUGACUAAGAUAAAUAUUAUUUUUUCACGUGUGAGAUUUUAAGUAGUUGCUGACAAUUUGACAAGGACUUGAGGGUGACUAUUCCAGGUUAAAGAGUAGUAUAAAUAAAGGAUUUUGGUCACUAAGUAAAGGAGUUUUCUGGAAAUUUUGAUGUGUUGAAGUUCUGCCAUUUUGCUUCCGCGCAAGAAGGCUAAGUAUCGCAAGUGAUCUUUUCUUAAAAGUAUUUGUGGGUGCUUUCUUUCAAAGUGUUCUUUUAAAGUAUUUAUAUGAUUUCAAACAUGUUUUAUAAUGCUUAAAUCUUGAUUUGAUGACUACGAUAUUGAUUAAGAAAUGGUAUUCAAAUCAUUACUUGCUUCCUUUAAAUGAACUAACUGUUAUGUGCAUAUAAGGUUAAAGGGAGCCAUGUAGAAAAGGCCUACAUGGUGGAGUGAAGCCGACCAAUGUAGAAAAAGAUUGCAUUGUGUUAGGCGGCUUAACCAACAAGGAUGAAUCUGCAUGUUCUCGGAAGUUGUUGAUACAGUAGUCUAAAUGCAAGGUAAUGAGACCAAACAUAGAGAACGAUUGAAGAUCCUUGUCGAAAGAAAUGAUUGUGACUAAUGGGUGUAUAUGCGAAAUUUAUAUUUAUGUGAUUUGCGAGUUUGAUAUGAUUCUAUUGUGAAAAUGAUUAUACGCUUUUCGAUAUGGUUUGUGAAAUGAUUUGUUUAUUGAUAAACUGAUUUGUGUUGAAGUUUAUGAUUUGGCGAAAAGGAUUUAUCAAAGAGUAUUGUGAAAAAGUUUUCAUAAAACCUUACUAAGUCUUUAAACUUACGUUUUAAAAUUUCAUCUACCAAGAUCAGGCGUUGAGGCCAAGUAGAGAAGAAGGUUGAAGGGCUUAUAGCAAGUUGAGAAAGCUACCAGACAUUUAAAAGUUUUAUUAAUGUUAUUUAUUUUGGUCAAGGUGUUGUAAUUGUAUGUUUAUGUACUAAACGCAUGUUGUUGUAUAAAAGUUUAAGAUGACUUUCGUUGCGUUAUGUUUAUCUUUACCGCUUGGUAGUUUAAAUGAGUUAAGUUUGAGGUAGGAGAUAAGACCAGUUUGAAGGUUUUAAGCUAAAUCGCGUUCUAUCUACAAUACUUUAUGCGUUCUAGCUGUUUUGCGGAUCGGAGUGUCACACAGAAGAUGGUAAUCUCGAGGUUGAUAAGAACUUGCACGUCUUGAGAGUUUUUAGAAGUUUAAGUUUUCAAUUAUUUAGAGCUUCAGUUGUUCCUUCAACCAAAGAUCUCAAAAUGAAUGAGAAUGUAUCUAUUUGUAGAGAACUUCCAUAGGCUUUAGGACCAAUUUAC
RNAcentral lists this long non-coding RNA (1801 nucleotides) under Cucumis sativus (cucumber). RNAcentral describes it as "long non-coding RNA (CSAT_LNC001173)". Lineage: Eukaryota; Viridiplantae; Streptophyta; Magnoliopsida; Cucurbitales; Cucurbitaceae. The record is from RNAcentral.